CUUAGUUCUCAACCUUUUGGCUAAGAUCAAGUGUAGUAUCUGUUCUUAUCAGUGGAGGGGAUACCAUAUGCAUAUGAUUUGAGCCAUGAGCUUUUUGUCCCAGGCCUUGCAAACCUGGGGUGCCAGAGCUUCACUUGGUGAAGCUAGCCAUC
Molecule: small nuclear RNA, 152 nt
Filed under: Xenopus laevis (African clawed frog)
Lineage: Eukaryota; Metazoa; Chordata; Amphibia; Anura; Pipidae
Description: U2 spliceosomal RNA
Rfam family: U2 spliceosomal RNA
About the family: U2 is a small nuclear RNA (snRNA) component of the spliceosome (involved in pre-mRNA splicing).
Source: Rfam by way of RNAcentral